GCCUUCGUGGUGUAGUGGUCAGCACGCUUGACGCGUAUUCGAGAGGUCCGUGGUUCGAGUCCCGGCGAGGACA
RNAcentral lists this transfer RNA (73 nucleotides) under Stegodyphus mimosarum. It matches the Rfam family "tRNA". From Rfam's summary of the family: Transfer RNA (tRNA) molecules are approximately 80 nucleotides in length. Their secondary structure includes four short double-helical elements and three loops (D, anti-codon, and T loops). Lineage: Eukaryota; Metazoa; Arthropoda; Arachnida; Araneae; Eresidae. The record is from Rfam by way of RNAcentral.